CGCGUAGGCGGUCUCUUAAGUCAGGUGUGAAAGCCCGGGGCUCAACCCCGGAAGUGCACUUGAAACUAAGAGACUUGAGUAUGGGAGAGGGAAGUAGAAUUCCUGGUGUAGCGGUGAAAUGCGUAGAUAUCAGGAGGAACAUCAGUGGCGAAGGCGACUUCCUGGACCAAUACUGACGCUGAGGCGCGAAGGCGUGGGGAGCAAACA
Molecule: ribosomal RNA, 207 nt
Filed under: uncultured bacterium
Lineage: Bacteria
Description: partial 16S ribosomal RNA
Rfam family: Bacterial small subunit ribosomal RNA
Source: RNAcentral